Molecule: ribosomal RNA, 583 nt
Filed under: Halieutopsis ingerorum
Lineage: Eukaryota; Metazoa; Chordata; Actinopteri; Lophiiformes; Ogcocephalidae
Description: partial 16S large subunit ribosomal RNA
Rfam family: Bacterial large subunit ribosomal RNA
Source: RNAcentral
ACAUCGCCUCUUGAACGAAAUAAUAUAAGAGGUCCCGCCUGCCCUGUGACUCUGUGAGUUUAACGGCUGCGGUAUUUUGACCGUGCAAAGGUAGCGCAAUCACUUGUCUUUUAAAUAAAGACCUGUAUGAAUGGCAUGACGAGGGCUUAACUGUCUCCUUUUCCCAGUCAAUGAAAUUGAUCUCCCCGUGAAGAAGCGGGGAUACAACUAUAAGACGAGAAGACCCUGUGGAGCUUUAAACGCAAGAAGGGGUCAUGUCAAGCACUUCCCUCCGCAAGGAGGGACGAAACAAAAUGAACACCCUUCUGAUGUUUUUGGUUGGGGCGACCGCGGGGAAAUAAAAAACCCCCACGUGGAACGGGAGUACCCCUCCUACAACUAAGAGCUACAACUCUAACUAACGGAACAUCCGACCAACAAUGAUCCGGCCAAGCCGAUCAACGGACCGAGUUACCCCAGGGAUAACAGCGCAAUCCCCUUUUAGAGACCUUAUCGCCAAGGGGGUUUACGACCUCGAUGUUGGAUCAGGACAUCCUAAUGGUGCAACCGCUAUUAAGGGUUCGUUUGUUCAACGAUUAAAGUC